This 408-nucleotide long non-coding RNA is filed under the name Eucalyptus grandis. RNAcentral describes it as "long non-coding RNA (EGRA_LNC000744)". The record is from RNAcentral. Lineage: Eukaryota; Viridiplantae; Streptophyta; Magnoliopsida; Myrtales; Myrtaceae.
CCAUUUGAUGAGUUUACUUUCCUAAGGAAGAAAGUGAUCACAUUUCCCUAAUUUAUUAAUAGUUGGGCUUUACUAUCUUAUCGCCGAGGGAACGAGGUUGAAUCUCCGAAUACUCACGACUUGAGUGGAGGUCCCAAGGGUGGUUUAUUGGGCCAGCCCCCCAAGGGUUUAUGUCUAAAUAGCGGCUUGCAGCGAGACCCCACCGAUGUUAUCGAGUAUCGAAGGGUCAUGUGAUCCCCGAAGAAUGAUCUCCGACGGUCUCUUGGUCAUCAAAAGAAAAUAGCCAUCACAUUUCCCUAAUUUAUUGCCAAAUGUGCAAUCUAGUCACUUAAUUUGUUUUUGUUAUUCUAUCGAAUUGAAAUGUAUCUUCUAGAAAAAAUUUUCACGACAAGGUGAGUAAGUUAUAAG